CAGAGUGUAGCUAAAAUAGGAAAGCACCUCCCUUUCACCGAGAAGACAUCCGUGCAAAUCGGGUCACCCUGA
RNAcentral lists this transfer RNA (72 nucleotides) under Oncorhynchus mykiss x Salmo salar. Its description in RNAcentral is "tRNA-Val". It matches the Rfam family "tRNA". Rfam says of the family: Transfer RNA (tRNA) molecules are approximately 80 nucleotides in length. Their secondary structure includes four short double-helical elements and three loops (D, anti-codon, and T loops). The record is from RNAcentral. Lineage: Eukaryota; Metazoa; Chordata; Actinopteri; Salmoniformes; Salmonidae.